UGCCCGCAGGAUAGCUCAGUCAGUACAGCACGAGACUCUUAAUCUCAGGGUCAUGGGUUCAAGUCCCACAUUUGGCAA
Non-coding RNA from Podarcis lilfordi (Lilford's wall lizard), 78 nucleotides. The record is from the annotation of a GenBank genome assembly. Lineage: Eukaryota; Metazoa; Chordata; Lepidosauria; Squamata; Lacertidae.